This 119-nucleotide ribosomal RNA is filed under the name Pteropus alecto (black flying fox). The record is from RNAcentral. Lineage: Eukaryota; Metazoa; Chordata; Mammalia; Chiroptera; Pteropodidae.
GUCUACGGCCAUGCCACCCUCAACAUGCCCAAUCUCAUCUGAUCUCGGAAGCUAAGCAGGUUCGGGCCUGGUUAGUACUUGGAUGGGAGAUCACCUAGGAAUACCGGGUGCUGCAGGCU